AUAUAUAUAUUCGACUUUCACACAUAUAGAUCAUAGUAAACAAAAGUCAUAUACAUUAUAGGUCAUCUUUGACCUUUCUAUUUUCAUCAAUUUGAACCAUUCCUUGACCAAAUAUUACAUUCGACAUUUUUUUGUCUAUUCAUCCCAAAUACAAUUAAUUAAUUCAUCCUUUAACCUUAAACACAUUCGGCCUUAAAAUACAAACAAUUUAACAUU
Molecule: long non-coding RNA, 216 nt
Filed under: Gossypium barbadense (sea-island cotton)
Lineage: Eukaryota; Viridiplantae; Streptophyta; Magnoliopsida; Malvales; Malvaceae
Description: long non-coding RNA (GBAR_LNC007178)
Source: RNAcentral